AACGAACGCUGGCGGCAUGCCUAACACAUGCAAGUCGAACGAGACCUUCGGGUCUAGUGGCGCACGGGUGCGUAACGCGUGGGAACCUGCCCUUAGGUUCGGAAUAACUCCCCGAAAGGGGUGCUAAUACCGGAUAAUGUCUUCGGACCAAAGAUUUAUCGCCUUUGGAUGGGCCCGCGUUGGAUUAGCUAGUUGGUAGGGUAAAAGCCUACCAAGGCGACGAUCCAUAGCUGGUCUGAGAGGAUGAUCAGCCACACUGGGACUGAGACACGGCCCAGACUCCUACGGGAGGCAGCAGUGGGGAAUAUUGGACAAUGGGCGGAAGCCUGAUCCAGCAAUGCCGCGUGAGUGAUGAAGGCCUUGGGGUUGUAAAGCUCUUUUACCCGGGAUGAUAAUGACAGUACCGGGAGAAUAAGCUCCGGCUAACUCCGUG
Molecule: ribosomal RNA, 433 nt
Filed under: uncultured bacterium
Lineage: Bacteria
Description: partial 16S ribosomal RNA
Rfam family: Bacterial small subunit ribosomal RNA
Source: RNAcentral